Molecule: ribosomal RNA, 450 nt
Filed under: uncultured bacterium
Lineage: Bacteria
Description: partial 16S ribosomal RNA
Rfam family: Bacterial small subunit ribosomal RNA
Source: RNAcentral
AACGAACGCUGGCGGCAUGCCUAACACAUGCAAGUCGAACGAGACCUUCGGGUCUAGUGGCGCACGGGGGCGUAACGCGUGGGAAUCUACCCUUGGGUUCGGAAUAACAGUUAGAAAUGACUGCUAAGACCGGAUGAUGACGUAAGUCCAAAGAUUUAUCGCCCAAGGAUGAGCCCGCGUAAGAUUAGCUUGUUGGUGGGGUAAUGGCCUACCAAGGCGACGAUCUUUAGCUUGUCUGAGAGGCUGAUCAGCCACACUGGGACUGAGAGACGGGCCCAGACGACAUCGGGAGGCAGCAUUGGGGAAUAUUGGCCAAUGGACGAAGGCUUGAUCCAGCAUUGCCGCGUGAGUGAUGAAGGCCUUAGGGUUGUAAAGCUCUUUUACCAGGGAUGAUAAUGACAGUACCUAGAGAAUAAGCUCCGGCUCACUCCGUGCCAGCCGCCGCGGUAA